This 820-nucleotide long non-coding RNA is filed under the name Marmota monax (woodchuck). The record is from RNAcentral. Lineage: Eukaryota; Metazoa; Chordata; Mammalia; Rodentia; Sciuridae.
CGGGGCCGUGCGGGCCGGGCGAGGCGCCGGGCUGGGGGCCGGGGACUUGGGGUCUCCUGCGGCUGCGAUGCUCGGGCCCCUAGUCAGUGGCUGCAUAGCUCGGGGCUGCAGAGGGACCGCUUUCACCCGCCCGAAGAACCCCCCAGGCGAAGAUGCGGAAGGUACUAGGCUGGGAGGGGACUGUCCCUCAGCGCCCCACCCGAUGCACGCGUUCAAGCCGUCAGUGGACCCGGAACUGGUGAGGACCGCGGACCAACCCAGCCCAGCCCAGCCCAACUCCGAGAGGGAGCGCCGCGAGUGGAACCCGACAUGGAAUCCCAGCGCUGCCGCCUGCUACCGGUGGGGCCUCGUGGGACCUGGAGCCCAGCACUGCACCUGAACCUGGUCUCCAGAAUCAAAGAGCUUUGGGCUGCACCGUUUAUUGAACACCUGUUAUAUACCAGGCCUUGUUUUAGGCACUAAAAGAUGAUAGAGGUGAAUAAGACAUAGAUUGCUGUCCACCUGCGACAGGGUAGUUAUGAUGACACAGGUGAAGAGAUUAGAAAUGUGGGCUCAAUAAAUACUAGGUCAUAUGCAACCUUUUACAUUUGCUACAGAGAUUCAGCUCUAUGGGACUGCCUUCCUCCACACAGUAGCUCAGAAUUUUUUUUCCUUCUUUUUCCUUUCUUCAUUCAACAAAUAUUUGUUGAGCUUGGUUUAGAAUGCAGGAGACCUGGAAAGUAAAUCCUGCUAAUAAUACCAACUCUCCCUGGCAUUCUUGCCCUCUUUGGAAUCAAAUGGGUCACCUCUGAGGGGAUAGUAACUGCAUAAAUGAGUUCAU